This 266-nucleotide unclassified non-coding RNA is filed under the name Glomus sp. RNAcentral describes it as "partial contains 5.8S ribosomal RNA and internal transcribed spacer 2". The stretch from base 1 to 65 matches the Rfam family "5.8S ribosomal RNA", at positions 84 to 154 of the family's 154-position model. The record is from RNAcentral. Lineage: Eukaryota; Fungi; Glomeromycota; Glomeromycetes; Glomerales; Glomeraceae.
GUGAAUCAUCGAAUCUUUGAACGCAAAUUGCACUAUCCUCGGAGAGUAUGCGUGUUUGAGGGUCAGCGUAUAAAAAAUCGACGUCGUUGCUGUUUCGCGGUGACGUUCGUUGGAAAUUGGGUCAUCUUAAAUCCUUUUGAUUUUAGUGACUUAUAAUUUUCUUUUGGUUGAUUGAACGUUUCUAAGAUCUAUUUCUUUACACGACUAAGGUAUCGAUUUUUACUAGAAGUGAUCAUCAUAUCGGAUCGAGUCCAUAAUAUUUAAUU